This 625-nucleotide ribosomal RNA is filed under the name uncultured bacterium. RNAcentral's name for it is "bacterial SSU rRNA". The stretch from base 1 to 542 matches the Rfam family "Bacterial small subunit ribosomal RNA", at positions 338 to 873 of the family's 1533-position model. The record is from RNAcentral.
CCUACGGGAGGCAGCAGUGGGGAAUUUUGGACAAUGGGCGCAAGCCUGAUCCAGCCAUGCCGCGUGCGGGAAGAAGGCCUUCGGGUUGUAAACCGCUUUUGUCAGGGAAGAAAAGGUUCUGGCUAAUACCUGGGACUCAUGACGGUACCUGAAGAAUAAGCACCGGCUAACUACGUGCCAGCAGCCGCGGUAAUACGUAGGGUGCAAGCGUUAAUCGGAAUUACUGGGCGUAAAGCGUGCGCAGGCGGUUAUGCAAGACAGAGGUGAAAUCCCCGGGCUCAACCUGGGAACUGCCUUUGUGACUGCAUAGCUAGAGUACGGUAGAGGGGGAUGGAAUUCCGCGUGUAGCAGUGAAAUGCGUAGAUAUGCGGAGGAACACCGAUGGCGAAGGCAAUCCCCUGGACCUGUACUGACGCUCAUGCACGAAAGCGUGGGGAGCAAACAGGAUUAGAUACCCUGGUAGUCCACGCCCUAAACCGAUGUCAACUGGUUGUUGGGAGGGUUUCUUCUCAGUAACGUAGCUAACGCGUGAGUUGACCGCCUGGGGAGGACGGCGCGAGUAGUUAACGUUAUAAGUUAGAGUUAGNGGCGNGNGACGNGCGACGGACGACGACGAGGGAGGAGG